Molecule: ribosomal RNA, 325 nt
Filed under: uncultured Sphingobacteriales bacterium
Lineage: Bacteria; Pseudomonadati; Bacteroidota; Sphingobacteriia; Sphingobacteriales
Description: bacterial SSU rRNA
Rfam family: Bacterial small subunit ribosomal RNA
Source: RNAcentral
AGCUCGUGCCGUGAGGUGUCGGGUUAAGUCCCAUAACGAGCGCAACCCUACCUUUAGUUGCCAUCAGGUAAUGCUGGGGACUCUAAAGGAACUGCCUACGCAAGUAGUGAGGAAGGCGGGGAUGACGUCAAAUCAGCACGGCCCUUACGUCCAGGGCUACACACGUGCUACAAUGGCCGAUACAGAGGGCAGCUACCUGGUGACAGGAUGCAAAUCUCCAAAGUCGGUCUCAGUUCGGAUCGGAGUCUGCAACCCGACUCCGUGAAGUUGGAUUCGCUAGUAAUCGCGCAUCAGCCAUGGCGCGGUGAAUACGUUCCCGGGCCUU